UACAGAGGUCCCAAGCGUUGUUCGGAUUCACUGGGCGUAAAGGGUGCGUAGGUGGCUACUUUAGUUUUGAUGUGAAAGCCCCGGGCUCAACCCGGAAAUGGCAUUGAAGACUAUUGAGCUAGAGGUUUGGAGGGGGGACUGGAAUGCUUGGUGUAGCAGUGAAAUGCGUAGAUAUCAAGCGGAACACCGGUGGCGAAGGCGAGUCCCUGGACAACACCUGACACUGAGGCACGAAAGCUAGGGGAGCAAACAGG
This 254-nucleotide ribosomal RNA is filed under the name uncultured bacterium. Its description in RNAcentral is "partial 16S ribosomal RNA". It matches the Rfam family "Bacterial small subunit ribosomal RNA", at positions 524 to 776 of the family's 1533-position model. The record is from RNAcentral.